Molecule: ribosomal RNA, 253 nt
Filed under: uncultured bacterium
Lineage: Bacteria
Description: partial 16S ribosomal RNA
Rfam family: Bacterial small subunit ribosomal RNA
Source: RNAcentral
UACGGGGGGCAAGGGCAGUGUUCGGAAUUACUGGGCGUAAAGGGCUCGUAGGUGGCCAACUAAGUCAGACGUGAAAUCCCUCGGCUUAACCGGGGAACUGCGUCUGAUACUGGAUGGCUUGAGAUUGGGAGAGGGAUGCGGAAUUCCAGGUGUAGCGGUGGAAUGCGCAGAUAUCAGGAGGAACACCAAUAGCGAAGGCAGCUCGCUGGGACGUUACUGACACUGAGGCGCGAAAGCGUGGGGAGCGAACAGG